RNAcentral lists this ribosomal RNA (328 nucleotides) under uncultured eukaryote. Its description in RNAcentral is "partial 18S ribosomal RNA". It matches the Rfam family "Eukaryotic small subunit ribosomal RNA", at positions 1470 to 1796 of the family's 1831-position model. The record is from RNAcentral.
CCCUUAGAUGCUCUGGGCCGCACGCGCGCUACACUGGUCGAUGCAACGAGUUUCUUUCCUUGGCCGACAGGCCUGGGCAAUCUUUGAACAUCGAUCGUGAUCGGGAUAGAUUCUUGUAAUUUUUGAUCUUAAACGAGGAAUUCCUAGUAAACGCAAGUCAUCAGCUUGCAUUGAUUACGUCCCUGCCCUUUGUACACACCGCCCGUCGCACCUACCGAUUGAAUGGUCCGGUGAAAUCUUCGGAUCUGAGAGAUGUUGGAUUAAUUUCUGACGCCUUUUGGAAAAGUCGCUUAAACCUUAUCAUUUAGAGGAAGGUGAAGUCGUAACA